RNAcentral lists this unclassified non-coding RNA (372 nucleotides) under soil metagenome. RNAcentral's name for it is "partial contains 5.8S ribosomal RNA, internal transcribed spacer 2, and large subunit ribosomal RNA". The stretch from base 1 to 120 matches the Rfam family "5.8S ribosomal RNA", at positions 35 to 154 of the family's 154-position model. The record is from RNAcentral.
GAUGAAGAACGCAGCGAAAUGCGAUAAGUAAUGUGAAUUGCAGAAUUCAGUGAAUCAUCGAAUCUUUGAACGCAUCUUGCGCUCCUUGGUAUUCUGAGGAGCAUGCCUGUUUGAGUGUCAUUAAAGUUCUCAACCACACAUACUACAUAUGUGGCUUGGAUGUGGGGGUUUGCAGGCUUUCUCUGAGGGUCUGCUCCUCUGAAAUGCAUUAGUGGUAUUCCUGAGCUUUACUACAGAUGUGAUAAUUUAUCUACAUCCCAAAAGUAUGCUUCAGCAACACCGCUCCUAACAAGCGAAAGCACAUUUUGAUGAAUUUGACCUCAAAUCAGGUAGGACUACCCGCUGAACUUAAGCAUAUCAAUAAGCGGAGGA